AAUCCUAAUAUCCUAUUGACAAACCAGGUUGUAUUCCGCCUGGCUCUUCUGUCGAGCAGUCAGCCAGGAUCCCAGGCUAUCAUUUUACUCUAAAAAUGACCAAAUACAUACUCCUUUGGCCAAACCCCAAAUAAUGUGCAAAUAUUUUCGUGGAGAAAUAAAAUUAAAGAACCUUAGUGAGCGCGCUCACAUGCCCCACGUCCCCACAUUGUCACUGGAGAAAUAAAAUAACUGUAAGAAAAAAAAGUUGUAUAAGAAAAAAAAUGAAUCAUAAUUU
Molecule: long non-coding RNA, 277 nt
Filed under: Mytilus galloprovincialis (Mediterranean mussel)
Lineage: Eukaryota; Metazoa; Mollusca; Bivalvia; Mytilida; Mytilidae
Source: RNAcentral